Herpailurus yagouaroundi (jaguarundi) is the source of this 488-nucleotide long non-coding RNA. RefSeq lists it as uncharacterized. The transcript has 2 exons. NCBI's taxonomy places the organism in Eukaryota, Metazoa, Chordata, Mammalia, Carnivora, Felidae. The record is from RefSeq and is a predicted model, not a curated record.
UGUAAAGGGAGGAGCCUGCAUUAUCUAGGUGGGCCAAUCAGUCGCCUGAGCCCUCAAAAGCUCUUUUAGCUAGAGCCGCAGAGACAAGUGGGAUGUCACAGAAAAAGAAGCCAGCAAGAUUCCAACUCAGAGAAGAGCUUGGCCGACCUUGACUGAAGUGAGGUCAGGGCUUCGUGGAAAACCAUGGCAAAGAAUGCAGAAUGGCUUGUGGAAGUAAAACAAGCCCUUGCCUGACAUUUGACGAAGGAAGAAGGACCCCAGUUCCACACAUGAAGAGAGGGUUAUUCCAGCACGGACUUGAAUGAGUCUGAAAGCAGAUUCUUCUCAGAACCUUCUGAUAAAAGCCCAGUUGCCCAACACCUUGGUUUCUGUCUUACGAAGCUCAGAGCUUCUGACCUACAGAAUUGUGCGAUAAUCCGUAAGGGUCGUUGUGGUUUCACCACAUUUGGCAUAUUUUCUUGUUCUGUUAAACUAGAUCUUCAACAUCA